This 900-nucleotide ribosomal RNA is filed under the name Phialocephala fortinii. Its description in RNAcentral is "eukaryotic LSU rRNA". The stretch from base 550 to 703 matches the Rfam family "5.8S ribosomal RNA". Lineage: Eukaryota; Fungi; Ascomycota; Leotiomycetes; Helotiales; Mollisiaceae. The record is from RNAcentral.
AGAAGUAAAAGUCGUAACAAGGUUUUGCUAAGCAAACAGUCCUUCUGUAGCAGAGCUUAACGGAGACCUUGCACCCGAGAGGGGGGAGGCGACUAUAAACAAGUCCCAGUGCAAGUCAGCGCCACUGGCAACACAAUCGAAUUGCGGGGACGCUUUAAAGCUCAGUGGUACCAACCCUCCGGAUGCCGGAGGGGGCGGGCAAUGCCCGAGGUCAGAACCCACCGAGAUAUACAAUAAGCAAUCCGCAGCGGUCCGUUUGGACCGUCCACAGACUAAGUGGUUGUGGGGAGCCCUGGCUCCUUAAGAUAUAGUCGGGCCCGGUGAGCAGUCACCGGGGGUUCUGCGUCCGUAGGUGAACCUGCGGAAGGAUCAUUACAAGUGAGGCUACCGAACGUUGGAAACAGCGGUUAGGAGCUUACACCCACCCGUGUUUACAUACUAUUGUUGCUUUGGCGGGCCGUGGCCUCCACUGCGGGCUCUGCUCGUGUGUGCCCGCCAGAGAACCAAACUCUGAAUGUUAGUGAUGUCUGAGUACUAUCUAAUAGUUAAAACUUUCAACAACGGAUCUCUUGGUUCUGGCAUCGAUGAAGAACGCAGCGAAAUGCGAUAAGUAAUGUGAAUUGCAGAAUUCAGUGAAUCAUCGAAUCUUUGAACGCACAUUGCGCCCUGUGGUAUUCCGCAGGGCAUGCCUGUUCGAGCGUCAUUUAACCACUCACGCCUGGCGUGGUGUUGGGGCACGCGGUCUCCGCGGCCCUCAAAAUUAGUGGCGGUGCCGGUGGGCUCUAAGCGUAGUACAUACUCCCGCUAUAGAGUUCCCCCGGUGGCUCGCCAGAACCCCCAAUUUUUUACAGGUUGACCUCGGAUCAGGUAGGGAUACCCGCUGAACUUAAGCAUACAAAA